CUAAACCACAACCCAGGGGCUGCGUAGAAGCUUCAGGCUUCUCUCUUGUCCCAAACAUCAUCAUCACACACUAUUUGUGAGCCACCCCAUAACAAAUAGUCCUCUGGGCGGCUCACAACACACCAUUGAGAAAUGUCCAAUAAGAGCACAUACAAAACGACAAACACAUCACAACACAAAACAGCAGCAAAUAUCCAACCCGCAGCGACACAGAAGCCACAAAGGAAUUAAAAGAGCCGACAAGGAUGCACAAGAUAGCCAAAGCAAGGGUUGUGUUCCUCACCGCCCUGAAUGCUCUGUCAAUCCACAGGCCAUCAGUAGAAACUUCAGGCUGCUCUGUUCUCUCACCACCUGUGGAAGGCAGCGUGAUCUCUCAUUCUGUGGCUGCCUGGAAUGAAACACGCUUCAUGUAUGUUACAAGCUUCAGGCAUCUUCAUUCUCCCAACAGCCUUGUCAAGCUGGAUAUCCUCUAAGAUGGUGACUGCCUUUAACAGGACACACUUCAUAUGUGGUGCAUGCUCAGCAGCCCUUUGUGCCAUGUUUGGAAAGAAGAAACAGAGUUGGCACACAUUUGCAAUGACCUCCAUGCCGGAGUGGUGAUUUUGGAAUGUGUUCUCCUCCCAAGAGGCCUGUGUGGGAGGCAGGAUCAAAGACAGGGACUGGACCCAAAGUAAAGGGAUCCCACCCCUGUCAAAAAUAGAACUCCCAGGGUGGUGUAAGAGACAAUCGAACAGGAACUAGACUAAUGCCUGCUAUAAUGAGGUUCUUCAGCAGAGCACUGAAGAAUCUAUACCAAAUAAGUAUUGUUAUGGCUGACAAGCAGACUAGGUUUCUCAGUAGUUAUCCCUCAAUGGUUACUCUAAAGGAGGACUCAAUUUCAAUAGGGGUUGCAUUGGGUAAUUUGGCCAGGAUGUCAGCCAGUAUUCAUUAUGCAUUGAUUUUUGCAAGAUGAGAUGAAACAGCUGUGAAACUAGUUACCAAGAAAUCAAAGAUUUCAUCCUUAGUGAACUUCUCAUAUUCUAACAGAAGAAUGUGGUAUUGCUCACACUUUAAAAUCAAUGACAUGCCUUUUUCUCUUCCAGUGGGUUUCAAGAAAGAGCAUAAGGAAUGAGGAGGACACAGAAGACAAGACAAGCUGACCUGAUCAAUCUUGUGAUGAGGAGGCGCAAUGUCCGAGAAUUGAAGAACUAUUCAACAUAGUUAUUCAAUUUCAAAAACAGACCAGUGGAGGCGACAAGAGACAAGCCAUGCCAAGCAAAACUGCAUUACCCUUUUAGGUCUUGUUUUCAGAAGAUUAGUCUCAAAACCAGUGGCUGGCUGCUGCAAAUAGAGGCUUCAAGCGUGAGCUGAUUUUAUCCUUGGCCCUGUGAGGUUUUUUCACCCGUCAGGCAUCCUUUUUCACUUGUCACAGAUGUGUAGACUAGUGGAUUUUCUGAGCCCUGAUUCUAAACCUGGAUUGGAGAAAAAUGGAAUUUUUCUUGGUGCAGAUCUCCUGACCUAGCUGCUUUGCCAAUCAAUCAAUGUAUCGCGAUCCAUAGACCAGAAAAUUUUCCCCUAGCAGACUGAUUUACAUUGACGGCCAUGUGGAUUGUGGGUAAAUCCCUAAGGAAGUUAUUUGAAGAAAUCCAAAGUGUAUAAAAGUGACUAAUAUCAAAGAGGUAUGUAUCAACUCCUAUUUAGAUGUUUUUACUCCCUUAUUAGGAUGUUAGAUAUACAGUUAAGGUGACUCUAUUUAUUUAAAAGUCUUCUGAUUUUCCUCUCAAAAGAGACUUGUGCAGACAGGUUGAAAGUUGCUCUUACAAUAAGUGAUGUAGGGACAUAGGAGCUGAAGUCCUAUGGUCAGGGUGAAGUGCUGGUAACCUCUCCCCUGUAGCCUCCAAAGAAAAGAGGAGAACUUUCUGCAACUGGAAGAAAAAAGAUGAAGUCUGAAGAAAAGAUUCACUGUGGAAGGAGCGGUCCGCUUGCCAUGGACUGUGAUGAUUUCUUGCUCCACGUUAUUGAUAGCCAGUUUAAUUUAUUCUUACCUUUUAAAUUGUUGUUCUGUAUGUGAGCAUUCUGUGCAUUCAGUAUUUCUUCUUUUUGGGUUCUUCUUUUUGUAAUGUAUUUUAAAUGUCUGGAAAUUU
Hemicordylus capensis (graceful crag lizard) is the source of this 2123-nucleotide long non-coding RNA. RefSeq lists it as uncharacterized. The record is from RefSeq and is a predicted model, not a curated record. The transcript has 4 exons. Lineage: Eukaryota; Metazoa; Chordata; Lepidosauria; Squamata; Cordylidae.